CAGCAGCCGCGGUAAUACGGAGGGGGCUAGCGUUGUUCGGAAUUACUGGGCGUAAAGCGUACGUAGGCAGCUUUGUAAGUUAGAGGUGAAAGCCUGGUGCUCAACACCAGAACUGCCUUUAAGACUGCAUCGCUUGAACGUCGGAGAGGUGAGUGGAAUUCCGAGUGUAGAGGUGAAAUUCGUAGAUAUUCGGAAGAACACCAGUGGCGAAGGCGGCUCACUGGACGACUGUUGACGCUGAGGUACGAAAGCGUGGGGAGCAAACAGGAUUAGAUACCCGCGUAGUCCCUGUCUCUUAUAC
This 301-nucleotide ribosomal RNA is filed under the name uncultured bacterium. RNAcentral's name for it is "partial 16S ribosomal RNA". It matches the Rfam family "Bacterial small subunit ribosomal RNA", at positions 509 to 807 of the family's 1533-position model. The record is from RNAcentral.